CCUACGGGAGGCAGCAGUGGGGAAUUUUGGACAAUGGGCGAAAGCCUGAUCCAGCAAUGCCGCGUGCAGGAUGAAGGCCUUCGGGUUGUAAACUGCUUUUGUACGGAGCGAAAAGGCUUUCUCUAAUACAGGGGGCUCAUGACGGUACCGUAAGAAUAAGCACCGGCUAACUACGUGCCAGCAGCCGCGGUAAUACGUAGGGUGCGAGCGUUAAUCGGAAUUACUGGGCGUAAAGCGUGCGCAGGCGGUUCUAUAAGACAGGCGUGAAAUCCCCGGGCUCAACCUGGGAAUUGCGUUUGUGACUGUAGAGCUGGAGUACGGCAGAGGGGGAUGGAAUUCCGCGUGUAGCAGUGAAAUGCGUAGAUAUGCGGAGGAACACCGAUGGCGAAGGCAAUCCCCUGGGCCUGUACUGACGCUCAUGCACGAAAGCGUGGGGAGCAAACAGGAUUAGAUACCCUGGUAGUCCACGCCCUAAACGAUGUCAACUGGUUGUUGGGUCUUCACUGACUCAGUAACGAAGCUAACGCGUGAAGUUGACCGCCUGGGGAGUCGGCCGCAAGGUUGAAACGUCAAAGAGUAGUUAGGCGNGNGAGAGCGACGACGACGACGACGGAGGGAGGAGG
RNAcentral lists this ribosomal RNA (623 nucleotides) under uncultured bacterium. RNAcentral's name for it is "bacterial SSU rRNA". It matches the Rfam family "Bacterial small subunit ribosomal RNA", at positions 338 to 957 of the family's 1533-position model. The record is from RNAcentral.